Molecule: long non-coding RNA, 527 nt
Filed under: Diabrotica virgifera virgifera (western corn rootworm)
Lineage: Eukaryota; Metazoa; Arthropoda; Insecta; Coleoptera; Chrysomelidae
Description: uncharacterized LOC126884209
Source: RNAcentral
GUUUGAUUGAAUACGUUGUGCGGGCCUUACGCGUCCCCAAUGAAGCGUUCGCAAUGAAUAGUAGCAAUGGUAAAUGAAUGUCAUGAAGAUGAAAUCAGGACAAAUGGAAGUGAGAAAAGAAAAGUAACGCUGGGCGUGAACGGUGGUCUAAGGCAGAAAAGUCACUAGUAUGUGAUUAUUUUAAGGAUCAUAUUCAGAAGAAAAUUGCGUCCAAAACAGGCGAGUGUGCAGAAUGGAUCCCUAAAUAUAAGGACUUUCCAAAGAAUAAAGACUGGCUGAAAAUAAAGACUUAUGUCUAAUACUAAAGUGUAUAAUACUUUUAGAGCAAAAUGACCCAUUUUACCAUUUUUCAUUUUAAAUUAGAAAUGUUUAUUAGUUUAACCGAAUGCAUUUUUCUUUAAUAGUUAUGUAAUAAGAUAUUUUACUUUUUCUUUAGUUUAUUUCUAUUUUUACACACAUGUUUGUUCUACCGAAUAUAACCUUUUUUUUUAAUAAGAUGUGUUAAAUUAAUAAACCAUUUUAUCACA